GAUGAACGCUAGCGGCAGGCUUAAUACAUGCAAGUCGUGGGGCAGCAGGUUUGUAGCAAUACAGAUGCUGGCGACCGGCAAACGGGUGCGGAACACGUACAGAACCUUCCUUUGAGCGGGGAAUAGCCCAGAGAAAUUUGGAUUAAUACCCCAUAGUAUAAUGAAGUGGCAUCACUUUAUUAUUAAAGAUUUAUCACUCGAAGAUGGCUGUGCGGCUGAUUAGGUAGUUGGCGGGUAAAGGCCCACCAAGCCUGCGAUCAGUAACUGGUGUGAGAGCACGACCAGUCACACGGGCACUGAGACACGGGCCCGACUCCUACGGGAGGCAGCAGUAAGGAAUAUUGGUCAAUGGAGGCAACUCUGAACCAGCCAUGCCGCGUGGAGGAUGAAGGUCCUCUGGAUUGUAAACUCUUUUAUAUUGGGACGAAAAAAGGCUUUCUAAGUCGUCUGACGGUACCAUAUGAAUAAGCACCGGCUAACUCCGUGCCAG
Molecule: ribosomal RNA, 490 nt
Filed under: uncultured bacterium
Lineage: Bacteria
Description: bacterial SSU rRNA
Rfam family: Bacterial small subunit ribosomal RNA
Source: RNAcentral